GAACGCAUAUUGCACCCUCAGGUCUUUUCCAGAGGGUAUGCCUGUUUGAGUGUCAUUAAAUACAUCAAUGUAGACUUGUCUUUUGACUUGCUCUACACUUGGAAGUUGAAGGCUUGCUGGUUGUCAUGAUCAGCUCCUUUUAAAUUCAUUAGCGGGACUUUUGAAGACUUGGCUUCAGUUUGAUACAAUGUCUAUGCUGUCGCUAAGGAACGGUUUAGUCUGGCUUAUAAUUGUCCUUUGGGACUGCCUCUAGUGGGCAUAACAAACUUUGACUCUUGACCUCAAAUCAGGUAGGACUACCCGCUGAACUUA
This 312-nucleotide unclassified non-coding RNA is filed under the name uncultured Clavariaceae. RNAcentral's name for it is "sequence contains 5.8S rRNA gene". Lineage: Eukaryota; Fungi; Basidiomycota; Agaricomycetes; Agaricales; Clavariaceae. The record is from RNAcentral.